This 3287-nucleotide long non-coding RNA is filed under the name Carica papaya (papaya). RNAcentral describes it as "long non-coding RNA (CPAP_LNC011684)". Lineage: Eukaryota; Viridiplantae; Streptophyta; Magnoliopsida; Brassicales; Caricaceae. The record is from RNAcentral.
CCCCCAAAGGUAGAUGAAAUAAAACACUCAAGAUUGCUAAAAAUAGCCCAAGCCAUUUUAGAAAUAUUAAAAAGUGGAGAUUACAACUUCCAAGGUAUAUUACAGUGCAAAUAGAUAUGGCAUUGAUAUUUUUGUAGCUUGAUAACACAUGAGAUAUACCCAUGAAGACAGCGAGACGUGAUCUAAAUGUUUUAGUAUUUAGCCUAUUUAAGACAAAAGUCCAAAAAACACUUUUCUUUAGAGGGAGUUGGGUGACUUCAAAGCCCAAACUUAAAAAUUAAGAAAGGGUGACAAAACUCAAAAGUUAUAGCUAAGAGAUAAUUUAAAUGGCUUUACAGUCUUAAAUUAUGAAAAAAUAUAUGUUUCAAGAAUGAAAAUAAUUUGAGAUAUCAUAAAAUACGAAAUAAAAGCUUUUAUUUAAAAAAAAAAGAAGAAAUGAAAGCUAAAUGAUUUUAAGACAAAUUAUAUAAAUAAGAUAAAUAAUUAACUAAGAUAACAUCUUUUUAUCCAACGAUCUUCCUAAAAGAGAUUGAGAAUUAUCUCCCACUCUUAAAUUGAGAAGGAGAGUGAGUAAAUAUCUCCUACAUACUAGAAAUGGCCUUCUAGAGGGCUCUAGCAAUAAGUUAAAAUACUAACUUUCGCAUGCCAACCAUUUUAUUGCAGAUUGAACUUAUUUUUAACCACCAUGUGAUACAAAGAGUUAGAUUUAGAGAAAACCACAAUAACUACUUAGUUAAUAAUAACAAGUUUUUACAAUAUUAAUUCCUAAUAUCUGAAGCCUCCUUCCACUUUGGGUAAACAAUGCACCUUCUAAUUAACUAAGUAAUCUCCAUAAUUUUUAUUUGAACUCAACCAAAAGAAAUUCUCCGUCACCCUCUCUAAAUUUUUUACAACACCCUUAGGAUAAACAAAGAAAAACAAUAAAGCGAAGUACUAGAGAAACACACUUGGACAAAAGUAACUCUACCAUGCAUAGAGAACAAAAAUCUUUUUAACUCUCCAACUUAGAGAUCUUAUGACAAAUAAAUCAUCAAAUUUCAAAAAGAAACCACCUGGGGAUCAACCCCCCCAAAUUAAGGAACUUUUUGCAGCGCCCUUGGAUAACAUGCGUAUAAAUAUGGAUUUUGAUGAGAGAUGAUGUAAAUAGGUAGAAGCUUGUGUCACCAUUGCAUCUUUUAUAGUUAUGGUUAAUGGUGGUUCAUCAUCAUUUUAUUAAGUAUCUAGAGGACUUAGACAAGGAGACCCUUUAUCUCUCAUUCUUUUCAUUGUGACCAUGGAAGCAUUGAAUAAAAUAUUGAUUAGAGCCUGAGAGAUAUAUCUUUCAAGAGGACUUAAAGUGGGAGGAGGUGAUAAUACUAAGGAAGUAAUUCAUUUAUUUUUACCAGAUUAUGCCACAAUAUUUUAUGAAAAAGACAAGAAAACCAUGUUCAAUCUCAGGUAUAUAUUGAUGAGUUUUCAUACGGUGUUGGGUCUUACCAUUAAUCUCACUUAAUCAUAGAUGGUUAGAUUCAGAGACGAGAGAGAUAGAGAUAGCUUGAUAAGAGUAAUGGGUUGUAAGGUAGUCAAAUUUCAAAUCAAGUACUUAGGCUACUAUUGAGUGCCAACUUUAAAAAGGUAGAGACAUGGGAUCUUGUGGCAAUAAAAUUUAAAAAUAAGUUGAUUGGAUGGACAAGAACUCUCUUAUCAAAGGUUCAGAAACAUAUAAUCAAAAGCACACUGGGUAAUUUACCCAUUUAUUAUGUCUCUUCUGACUAUGUCGGUUAGUGUGGCCAAGAAAUUAAAGAAUAUACAAUAUAGAUUCCUUUGGGGUAAUUCGAAGGACAGAAAUAAAUUUUAUUUAAUUGUCUAAAAAGAGAUUAAGAAGCCAUUUUCCAAUUGAGGCCUGAGAUUAUAAUCUCUAGUAGAGAUGAAUGGUACACUACAGGGAAAGUGGCUUUGAAGAUUUAUAAAGGAAUAAUGAAUGUUACAAAGAAAGGUGAUAUAAGCAAAAUUUGGUACAACCAUGAGAGGUUGGUAUGCGGGUGUUAUGACGAGACCAAAUAGUAAAAGUUUGUGGAAAAAAUUUGCAUGGAUCACGACAAAUUUUAGGAAUGCAUUAAAUGAUUAGUUGGUAAGGGGGAUAUAGUUAGAUUGUGGCAAGACAAGGUAGAUCCAUGAGAGACUAAUAUCCUCAAAUCUUUGUCAAUGCACAACAAAAAGACAUCUUAGUUAGUGAUGCUUUUAGAGACUUUGGGGGAGGAGAGAAGGUGUGGCAAAUUACUAUGAUGGGAAAUCUCGAUGAUUGGGAAACUUCAUAACAUCUCUUAUGUGCUUGGAUGUUAGUAACAAUUGUCUAGCGUGGUUUUUGACUAAGAAUGAGGUUUUUUCGGUGAAAUCUUAUUAUAAGUUUUUGAUAAACGUGAAGAUAAUGGCAUUGAAUUCUUGGUUAGAUAAAUUUAAAAGGUCCAAGUCCCCCAUAGAGUAUCUUUUUUUAUUUGGGAGACCAGCAGGGUAUAUAUUCUAACUAUUAAUAAAUUGAUGAGACGAGACAAGUUUUUGAUGAAUGAAUGUAAUUUAUGUGAAAAGGUUGUAAAAACAUGCAAUCAUUUACUCAUUUAAUAUACGGAAGUUUACAAGUUUUAAGUGGUGAUGGCAGAAUCGGUUAGAGAUGAGUUAUGGUUGUGGAAAGGUAUUCGUGAGAGGACAUAUGCGGACCUUAUUUCAAUCACAAUUUUUUGGGUGAUUUAGAAGAAGAAUGUAAGAGCUUUUGAAGGGAUGGAAAAGGAUAAUGGUUUUGAUUUAGUUAAGAAUAGACAGUUUUGAAGCCUUGAGUUUUUAUUAAGUAGGUGAUGACAGAAUCGAUUAGAGAUGAGUUAUGGGCAUGCAAAGGUAUUAGUGAGAGGAGUAAAUACGCAGACCUCAUUUCAAUCAUAAUUUUUUAGGUGAUAUGAAAGAAGAAGAAUGUAAGAGCUUUUGAAUGAGUAGAAGAGGAUAUGUGGACCUCAUUUCAAUCACAAUUUUUUGGGUGAUUUGGAAGGAGAAGAAUGUAAGAGCUUUUGAAGGAAUAGAAGAGAAUAAUGGUUUUAAUUUGGUUAGGAAUAGAUAAUUCUGAACACUUGAGUUUUUGUUAUUGGGUCAUGCUUAUACUCUAUCGAAGAUUUAGGGAAUUUUAUUGACUUAUUAAUAGAUUUGCAAAUAUUCUAUAUAUGGGUUGAUACUCUUUUGGUGUCGUUGUUAAUAAUAUUUUUGAUUUGUUUAUUUUAGAAAAAAAAAGGACUCCCAUACAUAAAAGGUCAAGCAAAAUAUUG